AAAGUGUCGAAGAUGUCUAGGAUUUAAAGCCUGAAAGAGGUUGAGUUGAUGUCCAGGAUUUCUGACCUCUCGGAGCUUAUUUUUUAUUUCUGCUUUUUAAUGUGUUUUUUGUUGAUGGGUUUUCAUUUUUAACGCUAUUCAAUCCAGUUUCAAGACUCAAUUUUUUUUUUGUCUGAUACUUUCAUCGAAUACCUAGGCUGCAUAAUUUGUUGAUGUUUGAAAUUUUUUCUCUACUGCAUUGUGUGAGCGUCUUUGCCAUAAAAUUUAAUGGUUUCAGAGUGUGUUUCUGUGUUAAUUGGAAGAUCCAGUUGCAUAUUGAAUGUUUUUAUUGAUGGGUUUUCCUUCAUGUUGUAAUUUUAUUUGAUCCAGUUUGAAAGCUUUUAGUUUUUUUAUUUUUAUUUUUUGUUCUUGCAUCAAAUACUUGGACUGUGUUGAGCUUUGAAAAUGUUUCUGUAGAGCAUUGUGUGAGUCUCUUUGUCAUAGAGUUGAAAGAGUUUCAGAGUUUGUUGAUGUGUUAAUUAGAAGAUCAAGUUUCAUAUAGUUACUUUUGGUUCUAAUCAACUUGAUCUUUGAGUUUUGUUGUGGUGUUUGUUCAUUUGUUUACAUUGUAUAUAAUUUAUUGAGGUUCUUUGUUUGGUUCUUAAGUUAUGAAUAUUGAAAUGGUAAGUAUAUCAAUUCGAACCAAAAGAGAGAUUGCAUAAAUAGUAAUUUUUUUUUAGAAAGUAGGAACUAGGAACUGCUUGCAUGUUGAAUUUCUGUUUUACAAUGCUCUUUACCUUUUUCUUUUUAUUCCCUCUUCUUUACCUUUUUCUUGUUGGAAUUGAUUCAGCACUAUUGUUGAUGUGUGUUUGCUUGGAAUGGAUGAUGUUUGCUUAGAAUGGAGGAUGUUUGCUCCAGUUUAUAAUGGAAUGGAUGUUGUUUACUUGGAAUGGGUGUUGUUUUUACUUAUAUUGUUUACAGGUUUACAGGAAUGGAGUUGCUAUUGGAAUGGAAAUGCUAGUGGCAUAGGAUGUUUACAGGUUUUCAGUUUAUGGAAAUGCUAGUGGAAUAGAAUGGAAAUGCUAGUGAAAUGAAAGUUUAAUUUGGAAUGGUUUACAGUUUAAAAUUUGAAAUGAAAAUGUAAUGUCUAUAUUUUUUUUGUUAUUUAAUUAUUUAAAUCCGUGGUCCUAAUGUGCUCAACAUAUCAUUAAAUAUGGGAGUAACAAGGACAAUCCUCUUUGGUAGCUUUUUCCUUUGUUUAGAAAUUAGUAAAGCAUAAGACUUAAAAUCAACAAUAAUGAUUAUUAUAAUCACUGUGUAUUUGUAAUAAUAUGAUUUUACUGACAUAAUGCACCCAAGUUGGUCUAAGACUAUGAGAACUGAGAAGAUGAUUGUCAAUUGAUGUAUUUCAAUCAUUAGAAUUCUGUUAGGACUUGUGAUUGCUUUAGUUGUAUGUAUUGCUGUUUUCUAUUUUAAAUUUUUUUUUUUUAUAGAAUUUUAGGGAUAAACUCUUGGGCUGAAGUUUUUACUAUAUGGGCUAGGGUAGUUUCAUAUGGUAACUACGUAUUAUUAGGGCCUCUCAUGAGAAAAUGAGAUGAUGCCUUUGAAAAGGAAUUAAAAUUGAAAUAUUUGGAAGAGAUGCGCUCUUCUUCUCUCUGCUUCUUGGCUUUUUUUCUUCUAUGUUAAAUUAAAUCUCUUUACUCUCUUUCUUCUCAUAUUUUUAUCUUCUCUUCCUCCCUCAUCUCUUGUUUGUAUCUUCUCUCUGUCCCAGGCUGUCUUUUGGGUUUCCAAGUCUGAGAAUUUGAAGGUAUUUUAAAAUGGUUUUUGGUUCAAGCUUCCUACCCAUGACCGACCGUGAACUUGUUAAAACAAUAGAUUUACACCCACAACCGAACCACAGCACAUGCAAAACUGUCCGUAGCUCGUCGGGUGGGUUCGGAUUGGACGGUUUGCCGGGUCUCCAGGUUAAAGAAGAACAAGUGCAACUUCAAAUGCAAUGGUAAUACCUUAGAAUGGCAGUGCUGCUCCAAAGUCACGCAUUCCUCAAAUGGUUGCUCAAACACUGGGUUUUGGCCAAAACUUGCUGCUGCUGGUGAUAGUAAUUGCACCCCCCAACAAAAAAAAAAAAUGGAGUAAAUUCUUGAGUUUUUAUUUAUUUAUUUAUGGGUACCUAGAAUUAUGGUUCAACAGUAAUAAUAAUAUACAUUCACAAAAAGAUCGUACACAAGCUGUAUUGAGAUUUAUCAUUUUUAAGUACUGUGCUCAUUUUUGACCUCCUAAUUACAAUGUCAUUGACACUGAGCUCUUAUGGCAUCUAACUGUUAACAGGGAAGUUACUUCCAAAA
Non-coding RNA from Camellia sinensis, 2324 nucleotides. The record is from RefSeq and is a predicted model, not a curated record. Lineage: Eukaryota; Viridiplantae; Streptophyta; Magnoliopsida; Ericales; Theaceae.